Molecule: ribosomal RNA, 439 nt
Filed under: uncultured bacterium
Lineage: Bacteria
Description: partial 16S ribosomal RNA
Rfam family: Bacterial small subunit ribosomal RNA
Source: RNAcentral
CUACGGGGUGCACCAGUGGGGAAUAUUGGACAAUGGGCGGAAGCCUGAUCCAGCAAUGUCGCGUGUACGAAGAAGGCCUUAGGGUUGUAAAGCUCUUUCGCCAGGGAUGAUAAUGACAGUACCUGGUAAAGAAACCCCGGCUAACUCCGUGCCAGCAGCCGCGGUAAUACGGAGGGGGUUAGCGUUGUUCGGAAUUACUGGGCGUAAAGCGCGCGUAGGCGGGCUGUUAAGUCAGAGGUGAAAUCCCGGGGCUCAACCCCGGAACUGCCUUUGAUACUGGCAGCCUGGAGUUCGAGAGAGGUGAGUGGAAUUCCGAGUGUAGAGGUGAAAUUCGUAGAUAUUCGGAGGAACACCAGUGGCGAAGGCGGCUCACUGGCUCGAUACUGACGCUGAGGUGCGAAAGUGUGGGGAGCAAACAGGAUUAGAUACCCGAGUAGUC